AUUGAACGCUGGCGGCAUGCCUUACACAUGCAAGUCGAACGGCAGCACGGGAGCAAUCCUGGUGGCGAGUGGCGAACGGGUGAGUAAUAUAUCGGAACGUGCCCAGUCGUGGGGAUAACGUAGCGAAAGCUACGCUAAUACCGCAUACGAUCUAUGGAUGAAAGCGGGGGAUCGCAAGACCUCGCGCGAUUGGAGCGGCCGAUAUCAGAUUAGGUAGUUGGUGAGGUAAAGGCUCACCAAGCCGACGAUCUGUAGCUGGUCUGAGAGGACGACCAGCCACACUGGGACUGAGACACGGCCCAGACUCCUACGGGAGGCAGCAGUGGGGAAUUUUUGGACAAUGGGCGCAAGCCUGAUCCAGCAAUGCCGCGUGCAGGAAGAAGCAUCUAUGGUGUGUAAACUGCUUUUGUACGGGAAGAAACACUCCUACGUGUAGGAGCUUGACGGUACCGUAAGAAUAAGGAUCGGCUAACUCCGUG
RNAcentral lists this ribosomal RNA (479 nucleotides) under uncultured bacterium. RNAcentral's name for it is "bacterial SSU rRNA". It matches the Rfam family "Bacterial small subunit ribosomal RNA", at positions 30 to 507 of the family's 1533-position model. The record is from RNAcentral.